UACGGGGGGGGCAAGCGUUGUUCGGAAUUACUGGGCGUAAAGGGCGCGUAGGCGGUGCUCUAAGUCCGACGUGAAAUCCCCAGGCUUAACCUGGGAACUGCGUCGGAUACUGGAUGGCUUGAAUCCGGGAGAGGGAUGCGGAAUUCCAGGUGUAGCGGUGAAAUGCGUAGAUAUCUGGAGGAAUACCGGUGGCGAAGGCGGCAUCCUGGACCGACAUUGACGCUGAACGGCGAAAGCUAGGGGAGCAAACGGG
RNAcentral lists this ribosomal RNA (253 nucleotides) under uncultured bacterium. Its description in RNAcentral is "partial 16S ribosomal RNA". It matches the Rfam family "Bacterial small subunit ribosomal RNA", at positions 524 to 776 of the family's 1533-position model. The record is from RNAcentral.